CCUACGGGAGGCAGCAGUGGGGAAUAUUGCACAAUGGGCGAAAGCCUGAUGCAGCGACGCCGCGUGAGGGAUGACGGCCUUCGGGUUGUAAACCUCUUUCAGCAGGGAAGAAGCGAGAGUGACGGCACCUGCAGAAGAAGCGCCGGCUAACUACGUGCCAGCAGCCGCGGUAAUACGUAGGGCGCAAGCGUUGUCCGGAAUUAUUGGGCGUAAAGAGCUCGUAGGCGGCUUGUUGCGUCGGUUGUGAAAGCCCGGGGCUUAACCCCGGGUCUGCAGUCGAUACGGGCAGGCUAGAGUGUGGUAGGGGAGAUCGGAAUUCCUGGUGUAGCGGUGAAAUGCGCAGAUAUCAGGAGGAACACCGGUGGCGAAGGCGGAUCUCUGGGCCAUUACUGACGCUGAGGAGCGAAAGCGUGGGGAGCGAACAGGAUUAGAUACCCUGGUAGUCCACGCCGUAAACGUUGGGAACUAGGUGUUGGCGACAUUCCACGUCGUCGGUGCCGCAGCUAACGCAUUAAGUUCCCCGCCUGGGGAGUACGGCCGCAAGGCUAAACUCAAGGAUUGACG
RNAcentral lists this ribosomal RNA (564 nucleotides) under uncultured bacterium. Its description in RNAcentral is "bacterial SSU rRNA". It matches the Rfam family "Bacterial small subunit ribosomal RNA", at positions 338 to 915 of the family's 1533-position model. The record is from RNAcentral.